GGGUAACCUGCCCUAUGCUGGAUAAUAACCUCGGGAAACUGAGAAUAAUGAUCCAUAGUUCACUACGCCUGGAACGGUGAGUGGAUGAAAGCUCCGGCGGCAUAGGAUGGGCCUGCGGCGUAUCAGGUUGUAGGGGGUGUAACGUACCCUCUAGCCCUCUACGCGUACGGGUGUUGGGAGACAUAGCCCGGAGAUGGAUUCUGAGACACGAAUCCAGACCCUACGGGGUGCAGCAGGCGCGAAAACUUGGCAAUGCGAGAAAUCGUGACCAGGGAACUCCAAGUGCAUCGGGUAAGACCGGUGCUUUUCUUGACUCUAAAUAGGUCUUGGAAUAAGGGGUGGGUAAGGACGGUGCCAGCCGCCGCGGUAAUACCGGCGCCUCAAGUGGUAGUCGCUUUUAUUGGGCCUAAAACGUCCGUAGCCGGUCUGAUACAUUCGUGGGUAAAUCAACCAGCUCAACUGGUUGAAUUCUGUGAGGACGGUCAGACUUGGGACCGGGAGAGGUGUGGGGUACGCUCAGGGUAGGGGUAAAAUCCUGUCAUCCUGAGCGGACCACCUGUUGCGAAGGCGCCACACUAGAACGGAUCCGACGGUCAGGGACGAAGCCUAGGGGCACGAACCGGAUUAGAUACCCGGGUAGUCCUAGGUGUAAACGCUGUGGACUUGAUGUUGGGGGUGCUCCGAGCACUCUCAGUGUCGAAGCGAAGGUGAUAAGUCCACUGCCUGGGAAGUACGGUCGCAAGGCUGAAACUU
RNAcentral lists this ribosomal RNA (753 nucleotides) under uncultured Candidatus Poseidoniales archaeon. RNAcentral describes it as "bacterial SSU rRNA". It matches the Rfam family "Archaeal small subunit ribosomal RNA", at positions 102 to 857 of the family's 1478-position model. The record is from RNAcentral. Lineage: Archaea; Methanobacteriati; Thermoplasmatota; Candidatus Poseidoniia; Candidatus Poseidoniales.